RNAcentral lists this long non-coding RNA (224 nucleotides) under Dunaliella salina. Its description in RNAcentral is "long non-coding RNA (DSAL_LNC000359)". The record is from RNAcentral. Lineage: Eukaryota; Viridiplantae; Chlorophyta; Chlorophyceae; Chlamydomonadales; Dunaliellaceae.
CUGUUACACUAUGCUGCUGCUGCUGCUGCUGCUGCUGCUGGCUGUUGUUGGCGAACAGGGCUGCCAUGAACUGCUGCUGCAUUUGCAUGAGCUCCAUUUGCCUCUCAUGUGCCUUGGCAUCCUCCUCCUUCUUCCGCUCAUGCGACUUUGCAUCUUCCUCCUUCUUCAUCUCCAACAUGGUCGCAAACAGGUCUUUCAGCAUUGUCUCCUGCUUUGCCUGCUGC